UUUCUGGUAUAGAUAUGUCUCAUGCAAUAUUUGGGACAUAUUCAUAUUACAA
This 52-nucleotide microRNA precursor is filed under the name Marmota monax (woodchuck). The record is from RNAcentral. Lineage: Eukaryota; Metazoa; Chordata; Mammalia; Rodentia; Sciuridae.